UGGGGAAUCUUGGGCAAUGCCCGAAAGGGUGACCCAGCGACGCCGCGUGCGGGAAGAAGCCCUUCGGGGUGUAAACCGCUUUUCUGGGGGAAGAAUAAGGCGGGGAGGAUAAUGCCCCGCCGAUGACGGUACCCCAGGAAUAAGGGACGGCUAACUACGUGCCAGCAGCCGCGGUAAGACGUAGGUCCCGAGCGUUGCCCGGAUUUACUGGGCGUAAAGUGCGCGUAGGCGGUUCAGGAAGUCCCCUGUGAAAGCCCGGGGCUCAACCCCGGGAGGCCGGGGGAUACUCCUGGGCUAGAGGACGGCAGAGGAGGGUGGAGCGGCCGGAGUAGCGGUGAAAUGCGUAGAUACCGGCCGAAAUCCCGAUGGCGAAGGCAACCCUCUGGGCCGGUCCUGACGCUGAGGCGCGAAAGCGUGGGGAGCGAACC
This 428-nucleotide ribosomal RNA is filed under the name Acetothermia bacterium enrichment culture. RNAcentral's name for it is "bacterial SSU rRNA". It matches the Rfam family "Bacterial small subunit ribosomal RNA", at positions 355 to 774 of the family's 1533-position model. The record is from RNAcentral. Lineage: Bacteria; Candidatus Bipolaricaulota.